Molecule: ribosomal RNA, 351 nt
Filed under: uncultured bacterium
Lineage: Bacteria
Description: bacterial SSU rRNA
Rfam family: Bacterial small subunit ribosomal RNA
Source: RNAcentral
GAUGAACGCUGGCGGCGUGCCUAAUACAUGCAAGUUGAACGGACUGUGGUAAUUAUGAUUGAAGAGCUUGCUCGGAGAGAUUAAUUACAAUGCAGUCAGUGGCGAACGGGUGAGUAACACGUGGGAAACCUACCUCUUAGCAGGGGAUAACAUUUGGAAACAGAUGCUAAUACCGUAUAACAAUUAGAACCGCAUGGUUCAAGUUUAAAAGAAUGGUUCUGCUAUCACUAAGAGAUGGUCCCGCGGCGUAUUAGCUAGAUGGUGAGGUAAUGGCUCACCAUGGCAAUGAUACGUAGCCGAGUUGAGAGACGAUCGCCACAUUGGGACUGAGACACGGCCCAAACUACCUAC